RNAcentral lists this long non-coding RNA (933 nucleotides) under Phaseolus vulgaris (common bean). RNAcentral's name for it is "long non-coding RNA (PVUL_LNC002640)". Lineage: Eukaryota; Viridiplantae; Streptophyta; Magnoliopsida; Fabales; Fabaceae. The record is from RNAcentral.
CAUGUUUUGUUGAUAAAUAAGUCUUUACAUAAUUGUUUACCCUUUUCAAUCUGCCAAGUAGAAACUACAUACUAAAAUAGACUUCUCAGGAAAGAAAAUCCAUCUAGCAAGCUUCUCUAACCACGAGCCAUCAAUUUCUCGCUGGUAUGCUUGGUUGUUGAAUACUGCAACUGUUGUGGCAAUACUUGCAUGAUGAUAUCCUGCAUUUUCUUUGGUUGCAGCAAAUAAUAACAUUUCUGAGGCCAACAGAUUCGGUGGGUGCACAUGCUCAGGUUGCUGAUACUUCAGCUAAGCAUGGGCUAUUUCUUCAGAAGCAACUCAAUAUUUUUGAAGUUGCUCCUUCCUUUUUUUAUCUCUACAGUGAUAAUGGCUGUUGUAGCAUGUUCCUUCCUAGAGAGGCUGGGAGUUUUCUUUGUUUUCCUGGAGCUAUGUCUCUUUAUGUCAACAAAAAAGAACCAUAAUGAAUAAUUUUGCAAGGAGAAAACUCCCUAAUUAUUAGCAUCAAAGUAUAGCUAUAUGAUUAUGAGUCUUGUGUUGAUUAAUGUUUAAAUUGAUCAUAAAUGCUUGAAAGAAAAUUUGAAUAUAGAUCUCAUAACUGAAUGGAAACAGCAAAAUUAAAUGUAAUUAUGCAGUAGGGUGACAACCUAGGGAAUGAAGACCUUGCCAUUGUGGGGUCUAAUCUAUCAUAGAUAUGCGUGGGACAUUCAGCUAAUAACGAAUGAAUGAAUUAUAACCAAUAAGAGAAGCUGGUGAGGUAUAAGUAAAACAUAAGAGGCAUACUGGAUAAUUCAAAAGUAAACAGGGUUGUUAAAUUCAAAAUUGUAGUCCAGCAAAACUUGCAGAAAUUACCUGAGAAAAGCUUUUACCGAUGGUGGUAAGUCCUUUGUGAACUAUGCUUGAAGCUUCUUUUGAAUUCCUUUGUUGCUUCUUUAU